RNAcentral lists this ribosomal RNA (724 nucleotides) under human gut metagenome. Its description in RNAcentral is "bacterial LSU rRNA". It matches the Rfam family "Bacterial large subunit ribosomal RNA", at positions 2207 to 2925 of the family's 2925-position model. The record is from RNAcentral.
UUAAUGUUUGAUGUUCUAACGUUGGCCCCUGAUCGGGGUUGCGGACAGUGUCUGGUGGGUAGUUUGACUGGGGCGGUCUCCUCCUAAAGAGUAACGGAGGAGCACGAAGGUUGGCUAAUCCUGGUCGGACAUCAGGAGGUUAGUGCAAUGGCAUAAGCCAGCUUGACUGCGAGCGUGACGGCGCGAGCAGGUGCGAAAGCAGGUCAUAGUGAUCCGGUGGUUCUGAAUGGAAGGGCCAUCGCUCAACGGAUAAAAGGUACUCCGGGGAUAACAGGCUGAUACCGCCCAAGAGUUCAUAUCGACGGCGGUGUUUGGCACCUCGAUGUCGGCUCAUCACAUCCUGGGGCUGAAGUAGGUCCCAAGGGUAUGGCUGUUCGCCAUUUAAAGUGGUACGCGAGCUGGGUUUAGAACGUCGUGAGACAGUUCGGUCCCUAUCUGCCGUGGGCGCUGGAGAACUGAGGGGGGCUGCUCCUAGUACGAGAGGACCGGAGUGGACGCAUCACUGGUGUUCGGGUUGUCAUGCCAAUGGCACUGCCCGGUAGCUAAAUGCGGAAGAGAUAAGUGCUGAAAGCAUCUAAGCACGAAACUUGCCCCGAGAUGAGUUCUCCCUGAGACUUUAAGUCUCCUGAAGGAACGUUGAAGACGACGACGUUGAUAGGCCGGGUGUGUAAGCGCAGCGAUGCGUUGAGCUAACCGGUACUAAUGAACCGUGAGGCUUAACCUU